CGCCGGGGACCCUGGGCGCGGGGCGGCCCGCCGCUGCCGCUCGGAACGCUAGGCGUGCUUCUUCGAGGCUGGGGAGAAGCCAGCGCUGUCCCCGAGAAAGGGAGAGUCUCGCCUCACCCGGGGGAGGGAUGCCGGGGAGUGCCCUGUCACUAGCGGACAGGCCACACUGGGCCGGGCUGGUGUGAGUCUCAUCAGGUGCAGAAGCAGCUCUGUCUCGGUGCUGUCCGUUGUUGCUGUCCCCUCCAGUAGGUCUUCUGCAGAACCGAAAUCAGCCAGUAUCUUGCCCUUCUCAUCUUCGGCAGCCCGAGCCGGGCUGUGUUUCUCCAUGGGCAUGGUUUGCAUUAGUGCUCCCAGGAGAAGGCAACCGGCUGAGAUCCCUUUCCUACCGGUCCGCCUGGUUAUACUGUGCUCAAAAGUUACAUUUAACCCGUUUCUCACAGUUGUGGCACCUCUCACCACUGUGAGAAGCUGAAGUCGCUCCUGGGUUUGACAUGCGGAAACAACCAGCGGAUGUGUCUGCCCCCACAGCUUGGGCUGGUGGAGGACAAGCAUGCUUUGAGAGACGAGCCCUGCCUUGGGGGUCUGGAUGCACAGUGCAGAGGGUGGAAGAAAGGAGAGGCACAGAUUUUUUCCUGCAUAGCAAUACCUGUGUGGUGCUUAUAUGAGGGAUAUGGCAAGAAGCUGUUCACCGCAGACAGACACAGGAUGGCCACAAAGGCCUCUGGCUUUGUUUCAUGAAAUAAACCAGGAAGGAGAUGAGUGAUGAAACCCCUAACUGUGGCAGUGUAAAGGUGCUGUUCUGAAGCCUCUCUUUGCAGAACCCACAGCACACUGUACAGGUGAUGGCCUGGGAUUUUUGUCAGCAGAGCUCCAGGCAAUGCUCCUGGUUGCACAAUACAUGACACAUGAAGAUACUGACCUGUUACCAAAGACUACACUGGAAAAGUCCACAAUAAAAUCUUCUGGUAUCCUUAAAAGAGAAGAGCAAUACGAAACAGUUAAGUUUUUUGUAGCCUUAGCUACAAAAAGAACACAAAAAAUAUGUCAACAUUUUCCAUCUUCCACUGCUAAAAACUGCCAUCAACUUUUACGUAAGCACUUCAGUUUUGAUUCAGC
This is a long non-coding RNA of Pogoniulus pusillus (Red-fronted tinkerbird), 1116 nucleotides long. RefSeq lists it as uncharacterized. The transcript has 3 exons. The record is from RefSeq and is a predicted model, not a curated record. NCBI's taxonomy places the organism in Eukaryota, Metazoa, Chordata, Aves, Piciformes, Lybiidae.